Non-coding RNA from Xyrichtys novacula (pearly razorfish), 1396 nucleotides. Lineage: Eukaryota; Metazoa; Chordata; Actinopteri; Labriformes; Labridae. The record is from the annotation of a GenBank genome assembly.
CUUCAGGAAGCCCGAACACCCCAAAUAUUUUUUUUUUUCAUUUUACAUUUUUUUUGGUGUAACCAACUCCAAAAGGUCUGAAACAUGUUCCUAAAAAGGUUUUGGACACUGAUUUUAACUCUAACCCCAAAAACCUUAAACCUUACCCUAGCCCCAUAACCUAAUACCCGGGUAUUACCUUCAGGAAGCCCGAACACCCCAAAUUUUUUUUUUUUUUUUUUUUUUUUUUUUGUCUAACUAACUCCAAAAGGUCUGAAACAUGUUCCUUAAAAAAUAUUGGACAGUGAUUUUAACCCUAACGCCAAAAACCUUAAACCUUACCCUAGCCCCAUAACCUAAUACCCGGGUAUUACCUUCAGGAAGCCCGAACACCCCAAAUAUAUUUUUUUCAUUUUACAUUUUUUUUGGUGUAACCAACUCCAAAAGGUCUGAAACAUGUUCCUACAAAGGUUUUGGACAGUGAUUUUAACUCUAACGCCAAAAACCUUAAACCUUACCCUAGCCCCAUAACCUAAUACCCGGGUAUUACCUUCAGGAAGCCCGAACACCCCAAAUAUUUUUUUUCUUUUUUUUUUUUUUUUGUCUAACUAACUCCAAAAGGUCUGAAACAUGUUCCUUAAAAAAUAUUGGACAGUGAUUUUAACCCUAACGCCAAAAACCUUAAACCUUACCCUAGCCCCAUAACCUAAUACCCGGGUAUUACCUUCAGGAAGCCCGAACACCCCAAAUAUUUUUUUUUCAUUUUUCUUUUUUUUUGGUCUAACUAACUCCAAAAGGUUGAAAAUAGUUCCUACAAAGGUUUUGGACAGUGAUUUUAACCCUAACGCCAAAAACCUUAAACCUUACCCUAGCCCCAAAACCUAAUACCCGGGUAUUACCUUCAGGAAGCCCGAACACCCCAAAUAUUUUUUUUUCAUUUUACAUUUUUUUUGGUGUAACCAACUCCAAAAGGUCUGAAACAUGUUCCUAAAAAGGUUUUGGACAGUGAUUUUAACCCUACGCCAAAAACCUUAAACCUUACCCUAGCCCCAUAACCUAAUACCCGGGUAUUACCUUCAGGAAGCCCGAACACCCCAAAUAUUUUUUUUUCAUUUUCUUUUUUUUUUGUCUAACAACUCCAAAAGGUUGGAAAAGAUUCCUACAAAGGUUUUGGACAGUGAUUUUAACCCUCACGCCAAAAACCUUAAACCUUAACCUAGCCCCAUAACCUAAUACCCGGGUAUUACCUUCAGGAAGCCCGAACACCCCAAAUAUAUUUUUUUCUUUUUCUUUUUUUUUUGGUCAACUAACUCCAAAAGGUCUGAAACAUGUUCCUUAAAAAUAUUGGACAGUGAUUUUAACCCUUACGCCAAAAACCUUAAACCUAAUCCUAGCCCCAUAACCUAAUACUUAAACC